CCUCGGAGAGUUUGAUCCUGGCUCAGGACGAACGCUGGCGGCGUGCCUAAUACAUGCAAGUCGAGCGGACAGAAGGGAGCUUGCUCCCGGAUGUUAGCGGCGGACGGGUGAGUAACACGUGGGUAACCUGCCUGUAAGACUGGGAUAACUCCGGGAAACCGGAGCUAAUACCGGAUAGUUCCUUGAACCGCAUGGUUCAAGGAUGAAAGACGGUUUCGGCUGUCACUUACAGAUGGACCCGCGGCGCAUUAGCUAGUUGGUGAGGUAACGGCUCACCAAGGCGACGAUGCGUAGCCGACCUGAGAGGGUGAUCGGCCACACUGGGACUGAGACACGGCCCAGACUCCUACGGGAGGCAGCAGUAGGGAAUCUUCCGCAAUGGACGAAAGUCUGACGGAGCAACGCCGCGUGAGUGAUGAAGGUUUUCGGAUCGUAAAGCUCUGUUGUUAGGGAAGAACAAGUGCAAGAGUAACUGCUUGCACCUUGACGGUACCUAACCAGAAAGCCACGGCUAACUACGUGCCAGCAGCCGCGGUAAUACGUAGGUGGCAAGCGUUGUCCGGAAUUAUUGGGCGUAAAGGGCUCGCAGGCGGUUUCUUAAGUCUGAUGUGAAAGCCCCCGGCUCAACCGGGGAGGGUCAUUGGAAACUGGGAAACUUGAGUGCAGAAGAGGAGAGUGGAAUUCCACGUGUAGCGGUGAAAUGCGUAGAGAUGUGGAGGAACACCAGUGGCGAAGGCGACUCUCUGGUCUGUAACUGACGCUGAGGAGCGAAAGCGUGGGGAGCGAACAGGAUUAGAUACCCUGGUAGUCCACGCCGUAAACGAUGAGUGCUAAGUGUUAGGGGGUUUCCGCCCCUUAGUGCUGCAGCUAACGCAUUAAGCACUCCGCCUGGGGAGUACGGUCGCAAGACUGAAACUCAAAGGAAUUGACGGGGGCCCGCACAAGCGGUGGAGCAUGUGGUUUAAUUCGAAGCAACGCGAAGAACCUUACCAGGUCUUGACAUCCUCUGACAACCCUAGAGAUAGGGCUUUCCCUUCGGGGACAGAGUGACAGGUGGUGCAUGGUUGUCGUCAGCUCGUGUCGUGAGAUGUUGGGUUAAGUCCC
RNAcentral lists this ribosomal RNA (1104 nucleotides) under Salmonella enterica subsp. enterica serovar Dublin. Its description in RNAcentral is "bacterial SSU rRNA". It matches the Rfam family "Bacterial small subunit ribosomal RNA", at positions 1 to 1088 of the family's 1533-position model. Lineage: Bacteria; Pseudomonadati; Pseudomonadota; Gammaproteobacteria; Enterobacterales; Enterobacteriaceae. The record is from RNAcentral.